GACGAACGCUGGCGGCGUGCUUAACACAUGCAAGUCGAACGGAAAGGCCCUGCUUUUGUGGGGUGCUCGAGUGGCGAACGGGUGAGUAACACGUGAGUAACCUGCCCUUGACUUUGGGAUAACUUCAGGAAACUGGGGCUAAUACCGGAUAGGAGCUUCUGCUGCAUGGUGGGGGUUGGAAAGUUUCGGCGGUUGGGGAUGGACUCGCGGCUUACCAGCUUGUUGGUGGGGUAGGGGCUUACCAAGGCUUUGACGGGUAGCCGGCCUGAGAGGGUGACCGGCCACAUUGGGACUGCGAUACGGCCCAGACUCCUACGGGAGGCAGCAGUGGGGAAUAUUGCACAAUGGGCGGAAGCCUGAUGCAGCAACGCCGCGUGCGGGAUGACGGCCUUCGGGUGGUAAACCGCUUUCGCCUGUGACGAAGCGUGAGUGACGGUAAUGGGUAAAGAAGCACCGGCUAACUACGUG
This 468-nucleotide ribosomal RNA is filed under the name uncultured bacterium. RNAcentral describes it as "partial 16S ribosomal RNA". It matches the Rfam family "Bacterial small subunit ribosomal RNA", at positions 28 to 507 of the family's 1533-position model. The record is from RNAcentral.